UACAAAUCCAUUUGAAGAAGAAGAACAAAGAAAAGAGAGAGAGAAAGAAUCAUGGAACCUCGAAGAAGAGAAGCAACUUUGUUCUGCGUUGAAAAGAAAGAAGCAAGACUUCUUUAAAGCAGCGGAAUCAGUACCAAAUAAGACGCGAGAAGAAUGCGUGGUACAUUGGUAUCAUUACAAAAAGAAAGAAGAUCAUAUCAAGGCGUGCAACACUUGCGCGGUCCGUGUGGAACGAAAAAGGAAACGCAAACUGAUCGAAGAACAAGAAGACGCUGCAGAGGC
This is a long non-coding RNA of Pocillopora damicornis (cauliflower coral), 282 nucleotides long. NCBI's taxonomy places the organism in Eukaryota, Metazoa, Cnidaria, Anthozoa, Scleractinia, Pocilloporidae. The record is from RefSeq and is a predicted model, not a curated record.